AAACUCAAAGGAAUUGACGGGUCCCGCACAAGCAGCGGAGCGUGUAGGUUUAAUUCGAUGAUACACGAAAAACCUUACCCGGGUUUGACAUAUAAGUAGUAGGGAUCUGAAAAGUGACCGACCCUUCGGGGAGCUUAUACAGGUGCUGCAUGGCUGUCGUCAGCUCGUGCCGUGAGGUGUCCGGUUAAGUCCCGGUAACGAGCGCAACCCCCACUGUAUGUUACAAGUGUCAUACGGAACUGCCGGUAUCAAGCCGGAGGAAGGUGGGGAUGACGUCAAGUCAGCAUGGCCUUUAUAUCCGGGGCUACACACACGCUACAAUGGCCAGUACAAUGGGUUGCCAAGCCGCGAGGCGGAGCCAAUCCUAAAAAGCUGGCCUCAGUUCAGAUUGCAGUCUGCAACUCGACUGCAUGAAGUUGGAGUUGCUAGUAACCGCAGGUCAGCAAUACUGGCGGUGAAUACCGUUCCGGGAUU
Molecule: ribosomal RNA, 474 nt
Filed under: uncultured Anaerolineaceae bacterium
Lineage: Bacteria; Bacillati; Chloroflexota; Anaerolineae; Anaerolineales; Anaerolineaceae
Description: bacterial SSU rRNA
Rfam family: Bacterial small subunit ribosomal RNA
Source: RNAcentral